UUCCAAGAGGACUGGCUCAAAUUAGGAUCCAUCUCAUGGAAAAUUUAUAUGAGGGACAGAGUCUAGCUAUUCUAUUCCUUCCUCUACAAUUUACCUGAUUAUCACGUGUGAUAGUUGACAUGCUGGUAGGUCUGGAAUGGUACUGCUAUUAGUAAAUGACUGAAAACUGAUAUUAAAGAAAAGCUAAUCAUGGACAUACCUUUGAAUUCUAAGGUCUUUUAUUAGAAAAUUUCUUUUCUAUAAAUCAUAACAUAACUGCUGUGUAAUAUUUUCCAAUUAAAAUUUAUACUUAAAUUAUCCUUUUCAUUCAUUUCAUUCCAUUAUUGAAUAAUAUAGUAAUAACAUGAUGACAAAAGGUUAUUAAAUGGACAAUGGACAAUGGACAAUGGACAAAAGGUUAUUAAUAUUAUUUCUAUCAUCAAAAAGAAAGAACUCUAAGAAUGUAAUCUUGAUUUAUAAUACUAUGCCUAUAAGUUUUCUAGUCUUAAUUAAAACUGUGAUUUUCAGGAACUUAAUCUUGGCAUUAAAUGAGGACCCACUGUAUUAUUUAUUUUAUCAAUAUGAUUGUUUUGUAAUGUAAAUUAAUUAUAUAUUACAUGAUUAAAUAAAAAUUUGUUGUGUAUGUAAAAAAACUUUUUAAUAUUGCCAAAUUUAUGUAUUAAAUAAUAGAGC
This 672-nucleotide long non-coding RNA is filed under the name Androctonus crassicauda. Lineage: Eukaryota; Metazoa; Arthropoda; Arachnida; Scorpiones; Buthidae. The record is from RNAcentral.